GAUGAACGCUGACAGAAUGCUUAACACAUCAGCAAUUGAUUGGUGGCGGACGGGUGAGUAACGCGUAAAGAACUUGCCUCACAGGUAGGGACAACAUUUGGAAACGAAUGCUAAUACCUAAUACUGUGAGAGAGCUUUGCGUCCCAUUAGCUAGUUGGAGAGGUAACGGCUCACCAAGGCGAUGAUGGGUAGCCGGCCUGAGAGGGUGAUCGGCACCAAGGGGAUUGAGGAACGUGCAUUACUGCUUCGUGAGGCAGGGGGGGAGCAUAGUGGAAAACGGCCCACAGUAUGAUCAAGCACUUCGGUGUGCAAGAUAAUGUUUUCGUAAAGUAAAGUUCUUUCAGUUGGGAAGCGGUACCCACAGAAGAAGUAACGGAUAAAUACGUGCCAGCCGCCGCGGUAAUUC
RNAcentral lists this ribosomal RNA (406 nucleotides) under uncultured bacterium. RNAcentral's name for it is "partial 16S ribosomal RNA". It matches the Rfam family "Bacterial small subunit ribosomal RNA", at positions 28 to 526 of the family's 1533-position model. The record is from RNAcentral.